UCGGCUAUCUCCUCUAUCUUUCUUUUAUGUACACAGGUAUGUACCUCGUGCCCGAGAGCGGAGGAGAGAGUGAGCGGCGGCGGUGGUGGGUGUAGCCGGCGAAGAGGCCACUGGAGGCCGCGGCACGUCGUGCGGGGGCUCGAGGGGUGCCAGGUGCGGUGGGAGGGGAGGCCGGUCUCAGAGACGAGGGCAGGAGAUGGCGGGCGAGCGUUCGGUUAGGGGGUACCGAUCCCAAAGCCCCCUAUUUGUUCCCCUCCAUAUCGUCCCGCAACCUUUAAACGCCCUCACCCCCUCUAGCUACUCCUGCUCCUGACAGACCACGUGACGACCACGCCCCUCCCGUCCCCUCUCCCUACCGACAACGCGACGAUAAUCGACGUAUAUCAUAACGAGGAAAGGACAACAAACAACUAACUACGACGACGACGAUGAUGAAACUACGUCAACGACGAUUAAACUACACCUCCUGCACGUCCCUGCCUGCUGUUCGCUCGUCUCUAAAUAGGCCCUGGAUUUAAACCGUCCGUUUACCCACUCGAGGGUGUAGGGAGAGCCAGAGGAAACUAAACAACGUCUAAAGAAGCUUCGGGUACUGGAGAGAACCCGGAACCGUCACCGCUCGAUCCACGGCCGCUCCAUCCGCUGUAGCAGUUGCUCCCGGUAGUACCGGAGGUGGAUACGGGAGAACGUCCACCUGACGACCAGUAGCCACGUCGCCCAGCCCGAGAACGUCGUUGUAGAUACUAUAAGAGACCUGCUCGACGUCCAUCCGGUCAUCUACUCCUAAGCUGCCGGUGGUGGCUCCAUACUGGAGGAGAGGAACGGGAACCCGACCGUAGAGACUAGUCCAACAUUAGACGACGACAUCACAACGAGAAACCCCUAAGGAUACCCUAGAUAAAAACUAACCAGUUUCGACCAUACAACCGGUGACCAACCAAAUUGUACUACGAUAUUACGCGAUGUCUCUCUAUACAAUAAGAUCAUGUUCACAGGCCAGUCAAUUAAACUCCUAAAAACGGAAAACAAGAAGUCCGGAUAUCGAAACACCAAAGUCAGGUUGUCAAUUUUCAACCUAACCGAACAUUUUUAAAUACACUGACCUGCUCAUCCACUCCUACUAGAGUAUACCUUUUAUGACGAGGUACCAUAAUUUUAGACAAUAUCCACAACCUUCAGUUACGAUCCUCGAGGACCCUAGACGAGUACGUACAAACCAGCCUUGAAAAGAAAACUUAGUUAACUACUUGGCUACCGUAGUCUAUACGGCAUACACAUGAGGUGAUGCAUGCUGGCCCACUUUUGUUCAAACUAGCUACCUCUACCUAAAGAUAGGACAACCACGUUAACAUACAAGUCCACCAAGAAAGUACAGGCAAGAGAGAUCGAAGAACUACAAAAGAAAGAGUCCACAUUAAAUCAACGGUAAACAUUAUCGGUUUAAAAGUACAGUUUGUACUAAAUUUCUAAAAG
RNAcentral lists this ribosomal RNA (1473 nucleotides) under Triticum aestivum (bread wheat). RNAcentral describes it as "partial small subunit ribosomal RNA". Lineage: Eukaryota; Viridiplantae; Streptophyta; Magnoliopsida; Poales; Poaceae. The record is from RNAcentral.